AUGGGAGAACACCAUUUGAGACAAGUGGUCAAGGCAUUAAUAGCCUGCAUGGUUCACAUGAUCUGGCCCGGGGCAACCAAAGGCUUUUCCCUGACUUCAUAUGACUGCGGCAGGCGAGCGAGUGAGUCGUCCCUGAGGAAAAAGAGGCAAAGCUUUUCCGAGAUCGUGUCAGCGACGGCGCUUCGGUCGCGGUUCUGGGGGUUCUCCGUUUGCAGGAACCCUGGGUGCAGGUUCGCAGCCCUCUCAACCAGCUCCAAGCCGGCGGUGAAACCUGAAGUGCACCCUGCGGAAAAUGAAGCUGUCGCCCCAGAGUUCACCAAUCGGAACCCCCGGAACCUGGAGCUUCUAUCUGUAGCCAGGAAAGAGCGGACUGGAGGACGGUGCGGCCCUCCCGUGAGUUCUGGCACAGGUUGCGAGUUAUAAGGACUCAGCGUCAUGUAGAAGCACUUGUGGAGCAUCAAAACGGCAAGGUUGUGGUUUCGGCAUCCACUCGUGAAUGGGCUAUUAAAAAGCACCUUUAUAGUACCAGAAAUGUGGUGGCUUGUGAGAGUAUAGGACGAGUACUGGCACAGAGAUGCUUAGAGGCGGGAAUCAACUUCAUGGUUUACCAACCAACCCCAUGGGAGGCAGCCUUAGACUCGAUGAAAGGACUACAAAGUGCCAUGACAGAAGGUGGUGUGGUUCUACGGGAACCUCAGAGAAUCUAUGAAUAAAUGAAUAAAUGGAAGCAUUAAUUGUUUUGAACAUGUAAAUAUAAAACUGUCAGCCACUA
Molecule: non-coding RNA, 772 nt
Organism: Chlorocebus sabaeus (green monkey)
Lineage: Eukaryota; Metazoa; Chordata; Mammalia; Primates; Cercopithecidae
Source: RefSeq, a predicted model, not a curated record